Molecule: ribosomal RNA, 440 nt
Filed under: uncultured bacterium
Lineage: Bacteria
Description: partial 16S ribosomal RNA
Rfam family: Bacterial small subunit ribosomal RNA
Source: RNAcentral
CCUACGGGUGGCUGCAGUAGGGAAUAUUGCUCAAUGGGGGAAACCCUGAUGCAGCGACGCCGCGUGGGUGAGGAAGUACUUCGGUAUGUAAAGCUCUAUCAGCAGGGAAGAAAAUGACGGUACCUGAGUAAGAAGCCCCGGCUAACUACGUGCCAGCAGCCGCGGUAAUACGUAGGGGGCAAGCGUUAUCCGGAUUUACUGGGUGUAAAGGGAGCGUAGACGGCGGUGCAAGUCUGGUGUGAAAGGCGGGGGCUCAACCCCGGGACUGCCUUGGAAACUGUACGGCUGGAGUGCAGGAGAGGUAAGUGGAAUUCCUAGUGUAGCGGUGAAAUGCGUAGAUAUUAGGAGGAACACCAGUGGCGAAGGCGGCUUACUGGACGGUAACUGACGUUGAGGCUCGAAAGCGUGGGGAGCAAACAGGAUUAGAUACCCCUGUAGUC